Molecule: ribosomal RNA, 492 nt
Filed under: uncultured bacterium
Lineage: Bacteria
Description: partial 16S ribosomal RNA
Rfam family: Bacterial small subunit ribosomal RNA
Source: RNAcentral
GAUGAACGCUAGCUACAGGCUUAACACAUGCAAGUCGAGGGGAAACGACAUCGAAAGCUUGCUUUUGAUGGGCGUCGACCGGCGCACGGGUGAGUAGCGCGUAUCCAACCUGCCCAUCACUUGGGAAUAACCUUGCGAAAGUAAGACUAAUACCCAAUGACAUCCCACGAAGACAUCUGAAUGGGAUUAAAGAUUUAUCGGUGAUGGAUGGGGAUGCGUCUGAUUAGCUUGUUGGCGGGGUAACGGCCCACCAAGGCAACGAUCAGUAGGGGUUCUGAGAGGAAGGUCCCCCACAUUGGAACUGAGACACGGUCCAAACUCCUACGGGAGGCAGCAGUGAGGAAUAUUGGUCAAUGGGCGAGAGCCUGAACCAGCCAAGUAGCGUGCAGGAUGACGGCCCUAUGGGUUGUAAACUGCUUUUAUAAGGGAAUAAAGUGGGUCUCGUGAGACUUUUUGCAUGUACCUUAUGAAUAAGGACCGGCUAAUUCCGUG